UACAGGGGGGCAAGCGUUGUUCGGAAUUACUGGGCGUAAAGGUCUGUAGGUGGCCAACUAAGUCAGACGUGAAAUCCCUCAGCUUAACUGGGGAACUGCGUCUGAUACUGGAUGGCUUGAGUGUGGGAGAGGAAUGCGGAAUUCCUGGUGUAGCGGUGAAAUGCGCAGAUAUCAGGAGGAACACCGGUGGCGAAGGCGGUUAGCUGGGCAGUUGCUGACACUGAGGCGCGACAGCGUGGGGAGCAAACAGG
Molecule: ribosomal RNA, 251 nt
Filed under: uncultured bacterium
Lineage: Bacteria
Description: partial 16S ribosomal RNA
Rfam family: Bacterial small subunit ribosomal RNA
Source: RNAcentral